This 191-nucleotide microRNA precursor is filed under the name Oryza glumipatula. Its description in RNAcentral is "MIR812 microRNA precursor family". It matches the Rfam family "MIR812 microRNA precursor family". Lineage: Eukaryota; Viridiplantae; Streptophyta; Magnoliopsida; Poales; Poaceae. The record is from Rfam by way of RNAcentral.
AAUAGAUGACGCCGUUGACUUUUUCUCACAUGUUUGACCAUUCGUCUUAUUCAAAAAAUUUACGUAAUUAUAAUUUAUUUUGUUAUGAGUUGUUUUAUUACUCAUAGUACUUUAAGUGUGAUUUAUAUCAUAUACAUUUGAAUAAGACGAAUGGUCAAACAUGUGAGAAAAAGUCAACGGCGUCAUCUAUU